Molecule: unclassified non-coding RNA, 335 nt
Filed under: Hevea brasiliensis (rubber tree)
Lineage: Eukaryota; Viridiplantae; Streptophyta; Magnoliopsida; Malpighiales; Euphorbiaceae
Source: RNAcentral
AAGGAAACGACAGCGUUUUAUUGCCCAGGAAAUAUUUUUUCCACCUCCAGUUGGUGCUCUGGCCAGAGAGUUUGCCUCGGUUACCAAAAAUCGCUCGAGCUGUUUCACCGUCAAAGGCUCCGCCAUAGCAUUUCCGUUCAGAUCAAAAUUAUCUAUUUUAAAUGGGAAGUAAAGGUCGAAUUCCUCCUCCUCAUCUGAGGCGUCCUCUUCCUGGUCCGGGUAUAGUGCACCCUGAUCCAUUUGUUCCUGGUGUACGCCCUCCGCUUGGCCCCAUUCCUCCAUUUGACAUAUUGCCACCCCCAGAAGUUAUGGAACAAAAGCUUGCUGCACAACAU